CCUACGGGAGGCAGCAGUGGGGAAUAUUGGGCAAUGGGCGCAAGCCUGACCCAGCAACGCCGCGGGAAGGAAGAAGGCUUUCGGGUUGUAAACUUCUUUUCUGAGGGACGAAGAAAGUGACGGUACCUCAGGAAUAAGCCACGGCUAACUACGUGACAGCAGCCGCGGUAAUACGUAGGUGGCAAGCGUUAUCCGGCGUUAUUGGGUGUAAAGGGCGUGUAGUCGGGAAAGCAAGUCAGAUGUGAACCCUCAGGGCUCAACCCUGAGCCUGCAUUUGAAACUGUGUGUCUUGAGUGCUGGAGAGGCGAUCGGAAUUCCGUGUGUAGCGGUGAAAUGCGUAGAUAUACGGAUGAACACCAGUGGCGAAGGCGGAUUGCUGGACAGUAACUGACGCUGAGGCGCGAAAGCGUGGGGAGCAAACAGGAUUAGAUACCCUUGUAGUC
Molecule: ribosomal RNA, 443 nt
Filed under: uncultured bacterium
Lineage: Bacteria
Description: partial 16S ribosomal RNA
Rfam family: Bacterial small subunit ribosomal RNA
Source: RNAcentral